CCAGACAGCCAGGAUGUUGGCUUAGAAGCAGCCAUCAUUUAAAGAAAGCGUAAUAGCUCACUGGUCGAGUCGGCCUGCGCGGAAGAUGUAACGGGGCUAAACCAUGCACCGAAGCUGCGGCAGCGACACUAUGUGUUGUUGGGUAGGGGAGCGUUCUGUAAGCCUGCGAAGGUGUGCUGUGAGGCAUGCUGGAGGUAUCAGAAGUGCGAAUGCUGACAUAAGUAACGAUAAAGCGGGUGAAAAGCCCGCUCGCCGGAAGACCAAGGGUUCCUGUCCAACGUUAAUCGGGGCAGGGUGAGUCGACCCCUAAGGCGAGGCCGAAAGGCGUAGUCGAUGGGAAACAGGUUAAUAUUCCUGUACUUGGUGUUACUGCGAAGGGGGGACGGAGAAGGCUAUGUUGGCCGGGCGACGGUUGUCCCGGUUUAAGCGUGUAGGCUGGUUUUCCAGGCAAAUCCGGAAAAUCAAGGCUGAGGCGUGAUGACGAGGCACUACGGUGCUGAAGCAACAAAUGCCCUGCUUCCAGGAAAAGCCUCUAAGCAUCAGGUAACAUCAAAUCGUACCCCAAACCGACACAGGUGGUCAGGUAGAGAAUACCAAGGCGCUUGAGAGAACUCGGGUGAAGGAACUAGGCAAAAUGGUGCCGUAACUUCGGGAGAAGGCACGCUGAUA
This 669-nucleotide ribosomal RNA is filed under the name Escherichia coli. RNAcentral describes it as "partial 23S ribosomal RNA". It matches the Rfam family "Bacterial large subunit ribosomal RNA", at positions 1085 to 1756 of the family's 2925-position model. The record is from RNAcentral. Lineage: Bacteria; Pseudomonadati; Pseudomonadota; Gammaproteobacteria; Enterobacterales; Enterobacteriaceae.